AAGAAUUUAAGUUAAUUAAACUAUUGACCUUCAAAGUCAAAAAUAGAAAUAUCUAAGUCUUA
RNAcentral lists this transfer RNA (62 nucleotides) under Hypothenemus sp. BMNH 1040235. RNAcentral's name for it is "tRNA-Trp". The record is from RNAcentral. Lineage: Eukaryota; Metazoa; Arthropoda; Insecta; Coleoptera; Curculionidae.